UCCCACGUCACGAAAAGGCAAUGAAAAUAAAAAGGCCUCGUCAUGAUGAGCCCUAGCCAAGACGCCUAAAAAUAGUUUUCUCUUCUCUUCUUUGCCGUUUUCCUUCCUUCAACGCCUCAAACACCUAUAGCUUUUUAAUUUUUCUUGUUUAUAGACAUUCAUCUUUCAAGUUUUAUUAGUUUCUUGCUAUGAAUCCAUUUUUUUACACUAAAAAAUCCUCUCCCAAGUACAAUAACCAAUCUUCGACAAGAAUCGACGGCGGCCAACGAGAAGCACCAUGACGCAGAUGUUUCGACAAUACAAAAGCCCGAUGAUAUCUAAUCUUUUUUUAAUCUUUGAAUAUUGUUGCUAGAUUUAGAUAAUUAUAUUAGUGAACCAGGAUUUUUGAAUCAAUUAUAUUGUGUUUAUUGGUUGUUGAAAUCAUAUCGUGAAUUUGGUUAGCAUGUUGUCUCAAAAGCAAGUAACAUUCUGGAGGAUUGCGAAACAUGAUGUUCCCAAUUAUCUAAGGAGAUGAUUUGUCUUAAAUGAAACGACCAACGAUUUUUAUGAAAUUUUACUUGAAGGAGAAGUGGCUUAUGAUGAAAUUAUUAAUUUUUUAACUAGUGGUAGAGGUAGUUGGGUUCAAAAAUUUGUAACUAGGGAACUCCUAUGAUUUCAACAAUCAAUAAUGACUCUAGAGGCCAAAAUGUGGAUGUGUUUUAUCUAUGCCAAUUUUUUUCAUGCACAGCACAUCAUGGAAGUUACUCGUGAUCAUGCUAUUCUCUUGUAUGUUAUUUUGCAAUGUUAGAAGAUCAAUGUGGAGGACCAAAUUAUUUACAACAUUAGGCAAUGUGUCAGAAGGAACACAUGAAGGCUUUUAUACUCGUAUUUGAUUACGAAGAUGUGUAAAAGGAUUGGCUUGAGAUAGACCAAAAGGAACCAACUUUCCCACCGAAGAGAAUCUUAAACGAUUUUAUUUUUUUUAAUGGUUUUACUAUUAACACGCAAGUCAGGUGGAUGAGAGGAAUGAACAGGUGGUGGUACAUAGGUAAUACACUCGAGACUGCGGGCUCCCGGAACCAAUGGAGGAGCCACAACCUGUACCACCGAGGGUACACCGAAAGAAGGCAACCUCAAUAGUUCCGACGGGUGAUGACCUAAUCAUGCGAGCCCACCUUGAGUAUAUUACACUAGGUAGGGAAUUAUUUAAGCCGACCGUAACUCAUUAUGUUGAGAGGCAUGGCCUACAGCUACCAUUGUGGACUGCCCCAGAACCACCCCUAUUCCAAACCGCUCCCGUGGAUGAUGGUCCCUUGAUCCCACCACAAGGUGGUGGUGCACAAAAUGUACCAUCCAUUGCGAGACAAAAGGAGAAAAUGGGCAUGUCAAACGAAGACAAUCGUACCGAGAAGUUCGAUGAUGAAAACUUCACUGACUUUUGAAAGAUAACCUCACCUUAUGCAGCACUACAAUUUCAAGCCAAACCUGAAAAGGGAGAACGAUCCGACUAACCUCGCAACACAUUCAUGAAAAAUCGGGUAGUCUCUUCUCUUUAUUUAUUUUGGAGCACAUUAGGGACAAUGUGCCAAAUUAAGUGUAACGGUAACAUAGGAAAUUUUUUAAAAUUUUGUUAUUAUUUUUGCUUAGUUUUCAUAAUAUUAAAAAUAAUAAAAAAUUUCUUUGAUUGUGUGUUUUGUUUGUGCUUGAACCUGUAGAAAUACAAGUGAUUGGUUAGGAGUAUGUAAAUAGGUUUUUUUGUUUAAAUUGUAAAUUUAGCUUGAGAACAAACGAUUUUAGGUUGUUUACAUUUAGACUAGUUAGUUUAAUUUGUUAAACUGUGAAUAGGAAAAGUAGUUAAAUGCACCAAAUGAUAAGGUAUAUACAAGUAAGCAUAUAUGUUUUUGAAUUCUAGGUUAUUUAAAUUCAAAUACUCAGCUAUUGAAUCCAUGGUUAUUGAAAUGAUAUUGUAUAAUAAGUAUAAAAUCCUUAUAGGUAUGUGCCUAAAAAUAAAAAUUGUUGAAAAACCAAAAGCAUUGUGAGGGUUAGAAGCAAAAACGAGUGUAAUAAAAGUAUAAAAUGGUUAAAAGCCAAGAGAGUGAAAAGUGAACAUAGUGAAAUAAAUCUAAAAAUAUAAGUAAUUGAGAAAAUCUCACUCACAUUGGCACAAAUACUCGUGAAUUCCUUAUACUUGUAAAUAUUAUAUUAGAGUUCAAAGCAUGGAUAAAAGAAAUUGAGUAAUUAGAAUUCGAACUACUUGUAUUCUCCAACCGUAAAUGCUAUACUCGUGUAUACAUUUUGAUGGAGUCAUAUGUUUAACUUUAUUUGGCUUGCUUUCUUUGUAACAUAUUGAACUAGCAUGUUUGAGUGUGAAAAUUGUAAAUCGCUUAAACAUCUAUUUAGAAUUAUUGGUUGAGUACACAUCCAUAUUUUUUAACAUUCCAAACCAAUCUCCUGUGUGAAGCAUGCUCAAGUACUUUAUUAGUAUUGCGUGUUUUUCUUUUCUUUGUUUUUUUUUUUAUUUUUGUCUUGUUUGCUCGAAGACAAGCAACGAGUUAUGUGUGAGGGAGUUUGAUCUGCCAUAAUUUGUUCUGGAAAAUUAAAGUCUUUUCAGCACUUAAUGAGCUUGAUUUCAAGUCAUUUUAUGUCAUUUUGUUUUGUUUUUCGAUUUAGUAGCUUAGAAGUAAUUGUUAGCAAAAUAAGCAUUUUUACGCAUUUUAUAGUGCUUCGACAACCCAUUAGGCCAACUCAUGCCUCGAUAAUGACUAACGGGCUACUUGAGUGUGUAGGGUGUCAUUUCAGGUCAAAGAACACAAAGGACGACGCCAGUGUCACGACACCAACAUGUAUUGUCGCGACACCUAACAUCGAAGCAUCUAGAGCCAAAACACGGCUGAAGUCGUGAUGUCACAACAAAAACCUAGAUGUGCACAGUCGUCUAGGGCAUAUUUGUCCUGUUAAAACCUUAAUUAAUUCAAGGACAUUUUAGCCACUUAAAUCCCUCAAUUGUAGCCUAUAUGAACCUUAUUAUAACAUCAUUAGAGGGGAGUCGACCUAGGGAAUUGCCCUAGGGAGCCGUCAAACAAUCUUUCAUAUUUUUAUUUGUCAGUUUUCUUUAGUUCAUCUUUACAUUUUAUUUUAGUUUUUCUUAUGUCAGCUUAAUCGAAAUCUUUCUAUUCUGAUGUAAAGACGAUUGCGAGUGGAGAUUGUUCUGGAACCACACUUCAAUUUAA
Long non-coding RNA from Gossypium raimondii (Peruvian cotton), 3209 nucleotides. RefSeq lists it as uncharacterized. The record is from RefSeq and is a predicted model, not a curated record. NCBI's taxonomy places the organism in Eukaryota, Viridiplantae, Streptophyta, Magnoliopsida, Malvales, Malvaceae. The transcript has 2 exons.